GUCUUUGAUGCAUGCUGAGAGAACUUUACUUAACGACUUUAGACAAACUCAUCAAAUCCGAAACUGAUUCUAUCCCUUGAUCUACACAUGCAUUCAAAUCAUUCAUUCCUUUUAACAUUCAUUAUUCAAGUAUAUGAAUCUGGUUGUGCAAGGCUUAACAAACUCACUUGGCUAGGCAGAAAAAGGUUUUGAGAAUCAUGAGGGUUUAAACAAUUUCAGGACAAGGAUCUCUCAAUGAAUGGAUUGAGCUUUAGGGAGAAUGCUAAAGGUAAGGACCAACAAAUGCAUACAAGAAUAAAACCUUGACUACCCAAUGGUUCCCAAGUGCUUACUCCUAAUCAUCUAAACCCGGAUGAUCCCUAUGUCUACCCUUCAACAUCAAUCCCAUUUUUUUUCUUUUUGCUUUUUGCCUUCGGAGAAGUUUCUUAUCAAUACUAGUGGAUAUGGGAUUUCUUCUUAACUAUGGUUCUGUUUUCUUCUUACGUUAUAAGACAUCAAAACUUUUUCUCUUUCUUAACAUCCCAGAACCAUUCUCUGUAUAUCAUGCUAACCCCACAAAAAUCAAUCUCUAGAUUAUAAACUUCUAGAAAACAUUCUCCUCCUAAGGAUACAACUUUUUCUGUUUCUCUUCUUUCUUUCCACAAUCAUUCCAAUCCCAAACCCAAGUAAGAAUCCCGACCUAUUCCUAUCUGAUUUGAAAGUGAAAAUCAGAACUACUCAAGAUUUUAAUCCUGUCGGCUCAUACCUAACACGUUCUCCCCAAGCAUAAUCCGGUAAAAGACCUACCACUCAAAAAUUAUCAAUUGGCUUGAAAG
RNAcentral lists this long non-coding RNA (815 nucleotides) under Capsella rubella. RNAcentral's name for it is "long non-coding RNA (CRUB_LNC002614)". The record is from RNAcentral. Lineage: Eukaryota; Viridiplantae; Streptophyta; Magnoliopsida; Brassicales; Brassicaceae.